Non-coding RNA from Lepisosteus oculatus (spotted gar), 1828 nucleotides. The record is from RefSeq and is a predicted model, not a curated record. Lineage: Eukaryota; Metazoa; Chordata; Actinopteri; Semionotiformes; Lepisosteidae.
GAGACGGAAGGAAACAGAAACAGAAUGGCGGAGAUGAGGAGUCUAAACUGGGUUGUAAAAGCCGGAGGAAAACACGUAAAUUUAUAUUAAAAUGGGGCUGGCGUGAAGCUAUAUGCCUCAGUUAACUGGGAUUAGGAGAUGGAGGUUGCGAAGCGACAUUGGUUGCCCGUGUUGUACAUGAUGACCUGGUUCAGACUGGUAAUAGUCCAGAGUACUGUCGCUAACGUGGGGGAGAUGAGACGUUGAGGAGGUGAAUCUGAAGUUCUGCAAGGAUUCUCAUGUCCUACACGGUGCUCAAUACCAUCAUCCAUCAAUUUAAAAUAAAAAGAACGUAUCAAGAGGUGAAAAGAUAAGGAGAGAGUGAAACCCAGAUUGUGCAUUUAUUUAAUGGGUGUAACAAUCCUGGAAUGAUGUCUACAGCAGGGUUUUGAGCACAGAGAUGAAACUGACCCAAAAACGCAAGGUUGAGUUAAGAUGGAAACUGGUUUGCUUAAACAUAUGUUGGUGUUGUCUGUCUGCUUAAGCAGUUUUAAGUAACUAUCCAUAAACCACUGGCUCAUUUUGGUUUUAGUCUUGGCAAGAACACAAUGUAGAAAGGCAAUAUGAAUGAGCUUGAGUAUCCUUGCACCUGGGUACUGUAAGAUUGAUCUUGUUUGCUCCUGUGCUUCUGGUACACAAUCUAUUACUGAAGUUCAUAGUCUUAACUUCAAGGAGACAAAAUACAGACCGCUAUUGUUUUACAUUAGGAAUGAGUUAGGUAUCUAGCUUUUCAGUCAAACAAGCCUGUUUGCAUUUUAGGUAUUGGGUGAUUGAUAUCCUUAAACAAUUGAUUCAUUAUGCGCAUUCACCUUAAUACAUAAAUUCUGUCCAGCAGCUUAGUCUGUAUAUCAGCAUACAAAUUCAUAAUUGGUAUUUCAGUACCAGGCAUAUUGAUUGCAGUAUCUUACAGAUUUCAUCAUAUUUCUUUUUUCGUGUGUGGAGGAAGGAUUACUAUUCAUAUUAAAUACUGUUUUUCUUUUCCUUUAAAAGGACAGCUGUGUCGGCUCUUACUGCCAAAGAGGAUCCAAUCUGCUUAUAAUAAUUUAUUUCUAUUUUUCAUAGGUGCAGAUAAACACUAUAGAAGCUGCUUUUUUAAUUAUCUUGAAUAAUCCGAAUGUUCUUCACGAACUAAAUCAACUAUAGAAUGUUAUUGGGGAGUAGAUUGUUAUAUAAAUUACCAUCAUAGAGACAUCAUUUAAUUAGUUUCUAAUCAAUCCAUAUAUUUUCUUUCUUCUAUGAAAGAUUAGGUUAUCCAGGGAAGGACCCCUUUGAAUUACAGGGUGAACUCACAGUCCAGACAUAGCUAGUUCAAGCAUGGGCUAUGUAAUUAUCCAACUGAAACUGGGACUUCUAAAGUGCUGUGCACAAUACCAGGCACCACAAGUGUUGGGUUUGUAGUCAACCAAGAUAUUUUUGUCUUUUUCAAACAGACAUGCUUGUGUCUUGCCAGGUACUGUUGUGCCUGCAGUGUUUUUAGUAAGAUCCUCACUCUAAUGUCAUAGCAUUACUGUGGACCUGCACUGGGAGGAAAAGAACACCAGAUAACAGUACAUGUUUUAGAAUGCCUUUUUUUAAUCUAUCCAAUACUAAAAUAGGGUUUGAAGCAGUGAUCCAAAUGGAUUAAGAGCUACCAAUUCCAGAUUACUGGGAAGGGAAAAACCCGUCUGGAUUAAAUUGUUGGAUAUGUCCUUCAAGGCAUUGUAAAUGUAAAAUAAAUACUGGAAUUUAUAGAAAAUGAUGCAGUUUUGAUGGACUAUGAUAAUAAAAGUAAAGAAUAUUUCCUUUUUUA